UUUUGUUUUUUUUUUUUUUUUACAUCUCAGAUCAUUACCAAAACGUCCUAGUAUUUUACAACGAAGCUCUGACAUUGGAAAUUUUUUCCAGAUUCUAUUAUCAGCCACGGACCACGGAAUGACCUACUCCGUACCCUACUUCCUAAUGCAGACUAUAUAUGUUCUGGGUUUGUACGCUGAUUAUAUUCAAUAUCUAGCAGUUCUGGUGAGCAUUAUUGUUUAGACAAUCUCUUGUUAUGUAAAAAUUUAAAGAGAUAGAUAUGACCAAGAAAAUAUCUGAAUAGUAACAUCCUACACAAUCUAAGAUUGGCUACUAAGAUCGGGAAAUUAAAAAGACCAGCGUACUUCAUAAAACUGAAAUGCAAUUGCGCAUUUUCAAUGGCUCUUGAUGACACUUAACUUACUUCAUAUAUCCUCGUGCUGCCAGCCUAAACAUGACUUGUGAGAUCAGCGCUUACUUACCUUUUUUCUACCUCGCUCCAUCUUUUCCUUCUUACCUCUACAUCGUCUUUUAUAAUUACUCUUCUUCCUCUCCAUCCAUCUAUGGCCGGCAAAAACUUAUACAAAAACUAGGGGCUUUAUGGCCCUGGAUCCGCCCCCGUGUGAGAAUGUGGCACUGCAAUUCUAUGUGUGACACAACAUGGGCCUAGAGGUCAACUAGAGCCAAGAGGAUAUAAUCUUGGGAUGAGAAUUCCAGUAUGGCGCAUGGCAUGUCACUACCGGAAUCCGGCUCUUUAUCGAGUGUCCACUCGGCAAAAAACUCAGUUCCGGUAGUGUGUAUAUAUGAUGGUAUCAUUUCACUAACCAUCAAAGCUGUGCUAGAAUCAAGCAAAUGAAGAAGAUUCAAAACAUUCUCCACACAUGUCGACCACCUAUUAUUAUAUAGGUAGGACAACAAUUUUACUACUUCCAAUAAAAUGGUCAAACAUGGAGUCAUACAAUUAAUUUGAAUCCAUGUAAAGGGCUCAAAUAAAACAAAUUCCACUCAACUAGUAACUUUCAGGUACUAUUCCAACAAGUGACAUACGUAUCUUGUUAACAUCAUUAUCACAACGAUACACUCUGUACUUGUCAUUUCUAGGCGGGAACAGCCAACAUAUAUCCACAUUAUUCUUAUUAUAGAAAAUUUCGUGAAACUCAUUUUUUUAAAUGUCACGGUAGAACUUCUGAUGAUAAAAUGUAGUACACAGUAAUGUGUGAAAUCAUCAGCCCUCCAGCCUGUUCGCUGUGGUUUGUUAACUAAAAACAACCUUUAUCUAUUUAUAUCUAUUCAAUAAACUACUACUCAACCUUAUCUUGAGAUGAUGACGGGAGAAACAUUAUCACGUCAUCAGCAUAAAAGGAUACAUGAUGGUUUACCUGUUGUGUUAUUAGAUUAUCAUGGGAUAUGUUGUGUUAUUAGACUUAUCAUGGGAUAUGUUUAUAGCUAUACCUAUUAUUGAUACUAUCUUCUACAAACUUGGUCAAACUUUAACAUAUGAUCCAAAAAUAGCUACAGUUGCAUUUUUCGGGACCAAGGCAGUAAAAUUCAUGCGGGUCACAAAAUGAAGACCGAAAUAAAUAAAAUAUAUGUUCAUAUAUAUCAUACAUCUCCACUUUAAAUGACUUUAUGUGUGUAAGCUGCUCCAAGGAAGUAAACAGAUAGAAGGCCAUACGCUGAACUAACACUAUAUGCAUGCUCAGUCGUUCUGCCAUGCAUAGGUUGUUACAUUCAAAUAAUUUUUAAAUUGUUGUAAUGUACUAAGUCUAUGGUCUGAUCACAGCUACAAGUAGUUUACUACAUCAACAAGUUCAGGUAAUUUAUGUGAAAGCAUAAAAUCCAAACGAACAAAUAUGCAAGUAUUUGCCAGGAUAAAUUCACUAACAUCAGCCUUACGUCAACAAUUGUCUAUUGAUCAUCAAAGUUCAAAAGACUUGAUUGCAAGAAUCCUAAAAUAAUGUAUAUACAAUUGAACAAAUCAUCAAUGAACCAUUACCAGUAAAAGAGAUAAGUUUAAUCAAGCAAGCACUAUUACUCAAAACUUGAAAUAAAACCGUCUCUUGUUUUAAUUUCUUGAUCACACAAGUUUUAAUUUCUUACAUGGUAAUUAUAUACUUCAUUCGUUCUAAAAUAGUAGUUAUUUUAGCUCUUAGUUUUAUGUCUAUAUUCAAAUAGAUGAACAUGAACUUAGACAUAUAUAAAACAAAUACAUCAAGUAUUGUAUAAACCCAUUAAUUAAUAAAACAAAUUUUAAUUUGGAACGGAGGAGUACUGGCUAAGGGCGCAUUCAUAUGCCACAUUAGUGUAGGAGGAACAUACCUGUAGGCUCUGGUUCAGUUUGCAUCCUUUAUCACGUGACAAACAAGUUAGGCCCUGUUUGGGAACAAAGUUUUUGAAAACCACAGUUUUUGAAAUACUAUACUAUACUUUAGUUAUGACAAUACCGUAGUUUAUAAUACCGCAGUUUUGAAAACUGAGGUCCAGAGCUAAGUUUAGAAUGCCUUAAAACAACUAUAGUAUUUGCAAUACUUCAGUUUUGAAAACAGAGAUUUUACCCAGCUUGCCAAACACCAUUAUGUAUAUAAUACUGCAGUAUUUGAGAAUACUGCAGUAUUCUUCCAAAACUGCAGAAAAACUUUGUUCCCAAACACCCCCUUAUUAGUGCAAUAAUGCCUUGGCUGGAGUUUUUACACCUCUACAUAACCACCUUGCGCUAGCUUCAUUACAUAUAUUUUAAAAAUAAAAGGACGCUUUGAUGUGCAGGUGCAUAGCUACAUAGAUAUAUUAUUAGAUAUAAGAUCAGAUUGAGCUAACAUACAUGAUGAAACAGAAGUGGGAAUGGAUUAAGAGAGUAUAUGUAUCACCCUGAGUAUAUAUGAUGAAACAGAUGUUGCGCUAGCUUCAUUACAUAUAUUUUUAAAAUAAAAAGGAAGCUUUGAUGUGCAAGUGUGGUUUACAUGCUAAUGGAAAGAGAGUAUAUGUAUUACCCUGAUUAUUCCUAUGCUGGAUUAAGACUUUAUAUACUUGAAAAUUUAUAUGCACUGCCAUUAACCAUUGUAGCGCCAUGUUGGAACUGGAAAACUAACAAAAAUUCUUUUGCCUGUAAGUGAGCAGUUUAAAAGCAACAUCAGACUUUACUAAUUGUAAAGAAAGCAUGCAAUAUUGCAACAUAGGAAAAAGUUGAAAGUUCAACGUUUGUCCAGUAAAAAAGAACUGGCAGCAACUAGCUUGGCCUUUCUUUUUUAUAGAAUACUUGUGUGUGAAAAAUCAACACUCCUGCUGGUGAAAAGUUCGUAGGUUGAAUUCAAAUUUAGAAACCCCCAACGCAAACUUUGGCUACAUAUACCAGAAAAUAUUUAUUUCUUAACCAACCUACAACUUUCACCAGGGACCAUGCUUGCGCGUACCUUGAAACCUUCAAUGCUAUUAUUUACAGCCGACUUGACUUUUUACUUGCCCAUAUAAUAAAGACAGAAAAAAAAUAAAGCUUACAUUGUCCCAGGUAAUCGAAGUAUAAAACAAUAUAAAUCCUGCAAAGCCCAAUAAUUCAACAAAACCUCCGGAACUAUAAUUUGUUUCACACUAUUCAGUGAAAUUAUGCCGUCUUUAUGAACAUCAAACGCCGAUAUAUAAACUUAAUUUGCGC
Molecule: long non-coding RNA, 3626 nt
Filed under: Zea mays
Lineage: Eukaryota; Viridiplantae; Streptophyta; Magnoliopsida; Poales; Poaceae
Description: long non-coding RNA NONZMAT001036
Source: RNAcentral